GCUACUACCAGGAUGGAUAGACAACUUGGAUGAAUGAGCUUCAGAAAAGAUCUGAUUUCGCAGCUCACGGUCUUUUGGGACCACAAGUCGAUCUUUGAACCAUAGGAUUCCGUUCUCAUCGACUCGGAAAUGAUUGGUUUCUUCUUCUUUCAUUUUCCUCUUUAUAUGGUAGAUGCCUACAUCUAUUUGCUGCAAUUCGAUGACUCAAUUGCAAAGAGAACUCUCCAGAGCAAUCUGGUUGAGCACAAGUGGG
This 253-nucleotide long non-coding RNA is filed under the name Sorghum bicolor (sorghum). RNAcentral's name for it is "long non-coding RNA (SBIC_LNC012864)". Lineage: Eukaryota; Viridiplantae; Streptophyta; Magnoliopsida; Poales; Poaceae. The record is from RNAcentral.